RNAcentral lists this ribosomal RNA (402 nucleotides) under uncultured bacterium. Its description in RNAcentral is "partial 16S ribosomal RNA". It matches the Rfam family "Bacterial small subunit ribosomal RNA", at positions 355 to 774 of the family's 1533-position model. The record is from RNAcentral.
UGGGGAAUAUUGGACAAUGGGCGAAAGCCUGAUCCAGCCAUGCCGCAUGAGUGAAGAAGGCCUUUGGGUUGUAAAGCUCUUUUAGUGAGGAAGAUAAUGACGGUACUCACAGAAGAAGUCCUGGCUAACUCCGUGCCAGCAGCCGCGGUAAUACGGAGAGGGCUAGCGUUAUUCGGAAUUAUUGGGCGUAAAGGGCGCUUAGGCUGGUUAAUAAGUUAAAAGUGAAAUCCCGAGGCUUAACCUUGGAAUUGCUUUUAAAACUAUUAAUCUAGAGAUUGAAAGAGGAUAGAGGAAUUCCUGAUGUAGAGGUAAAAUUCGUAAAUAUUAGGAGGAACACCGGUGGCGAAGGCGUCUAUCUGGUUCAAAUCUGACGCUGAAGCGCGAAGGCGUGGGGAGCAAACA